Molecule: non-coding RNA, 951 nt
Organism: Pelecanus crispus (Dalmatian pelican)
Lineage: Eukaryota; Metazoa; Chordata; Aves; Pelecaniformes; Pelecanidae
Source: RefSeq, a predicted model, not a curated record
AGAUGGAGAAAGACGAGACUGUGAGCGACUCCUCUCCCCACAUAGCCAAUAUCGGACGCUUGGUAGAGGACAUGGAAAACAAAAUCAGAAGUACACUGAAUGAGAUUUAUUUUGGAAAAACAAAGGACAUCGUUAAUGGGCUGAGGUCUGUGCAGACUUUUGCAGACAAAUCAAAACAAGAAGCUCUUAAAAACGACCUGGUGGAGGCUUUGAAGAGAAAGCAGCAAAGUUAAAAUACUCUUCAUGCUAACAAGACAUGCCAUGCACUCGUUAGAUUCCUUUCUUAGAAAACUCAUCCCCCCCUUGCCCUUUUCUGUUACGUCACGUCACGAUUUGCAUUCAAUACUAUUCAUGCAGCAGCAUCUUCUCCCCAUGAAUAAAGCUGUACAAACUUUUUCAGUCUCUGAGGCCUACUUUGCACCACAUUUUACUAUUGAGACCUUAGGCUACGUUUCUGUAUGAGUCCAUGUAUUUUUUUUUUCCCCCCCUCUUCCACCCUCUCCCAUUUAUAUGCAUAAACACGGAUCAUUGUUUGUCUUUUCCUUCCCACCCCCUCCUGCCUUUUGUUACAUUGGUGUAAAAAAUGUAAAACAAAAAUUUAUUAAAUACUGUGGUGUGUGAAAGAGGAAGAACUGGAAAAAAAAAAAAAAUCUAUUCCACGUAUGUUUGGGGGCUGGGCACAGGGGACGGCUGGUGGGAGGGAGGGAAGAGAGGGUGUUCCUCGGUGUUGUACUAUACUGACUAAACCAGAUUUGCAAGGAGACGUUGAUUAGGAGACCUGCUGAAAGUCCUGCUCUUCUAUAGCCUGGUUCCAAGGCGCUUUUCUGUCAAUUUUUAUGGAAUGCAAAAGGGGUUUUUGUUUUGAUUUUGUUUUUUGUAAAGCUUAAAUUGAAUCUACAUCUGAUACUUGAGCCUCCAUACUAAAAAAAAAAAAUAAAAAUAAAAAAAAAG